UACGUAGGGUGCGAGCGUUAAUCGGAAUUACUGGGCGUAAAGUGUGCGCAGGUGGCCGCGCAAGUCGAGUGUGAAAUCCCCGGGCUUAACUUGGGAAUUGCGCUCGAAACUACGUGGCUCGAGUGUGGCAGAGGGAGGUGGAAUUCCACGUGUAGCGGUGAAAUGCGUAGAGAUGUGGAGGAACACCAAUGGCGAAGGCAGCCUCCUGGGCCAACACUGACACUCAGGCACGAAAGCGUGGGGAGCAAACAGG
Molecule: ribosomal RNA, 253 nt
Filed under: uncultured bacterium
Lineage: Bacteria
Description: partial 16S ribosomal RNA
Rfam family: Bacterial small subunit ribosomal RNA
Source: RNAcentral